CCUACGGGUGGCAGCAGUGAGGAAUAUUGGUCAAUGGGCGCGAGCCUGAACCAGCCAAGUCGCGUGAGGGAUGAAGGUUCUAUGGAUCGUAAACCUCUUUUCUAAGGGAAUAAAGUGUGGGACGUGUCCUAUUUUGUAUGUACCUUAUGAAUAAGGAUCGGCUAACGCCGUGCCAGCAGCCGCGGUAAUACGGAGGAUCCGAGCGUUAUCCGGAUUUAUUGGGUUUAAAGGGUGGGUAGGCGGCCUUUUAAGUCAGCGGUGAAAGUUUGUGGCUCAACCAGAGAAUUGCCGUUGACACUGGGGGGCUUGAGUAUGUUGGAGGCAGGCGGAAUGCGUGGUGUAGCGGUGAAA
RNAcentral lists this ribosomal RNA (351 nucleotides) under uncultured bacterium. Its description in RNAcentral is "partial 16S ribosomal RNA". It matches the Rfam family "Bacterial small subunit ribosomal RNA", at positions 338 to 686 of the family's 1533-position model. The record is from RNAcentral.